CCUACGGGUGGCAGCAGUAGGGAAUUUUCGGCAAUGGGGGAAACCCUGAUGGUGCGACGCCGCGUGGGGGAAUGAAGGUCUUCGGAUUGUAAACCCCUGUCAUGUGGGAGCAAAUUAAAAAGAUAGUACCACAAGAGGAAGAGACGGCUCACUCUGUGCCAGCAGCCGCGGUAAUACGGAGGUCUCAAGCGUUGUUCGGAAUCACUGGGCGUAAGGCGUGCGUCGGCUGUUUCGUAAGUCGUGUGUGAAAGGCGCGGGCUCAACCCGCGGACGGCACAUGAUACUGCGAGACUAGAGUAAUGGAGGGGGAACCGGAAUUCUCGGUGUAGCAGUGAAAUGCGUAGAGAUCGAGAGGAACACUCGUGGCGAAGGCGGGUUCCUGGACAUUAACUGACGCUGAGGCACGAAGGCCAGGGGAGCGAAAGGGAUUAGAUACCCCAGUAGUC
Molecule: ribosomal RNA, 446 nt
Filed under: uncultured bacterium
Lineage: Bacteria
Description: partial 16S ribosomal RNA
Rfam family: Bacterial small subunit ribosomal RNA
Source: RNAcentral